CCUACGGGAGGCAGCAGUGAGGAAUAUUGGUCAAUGGGCGGAAGCCUGAACCAGCCAAGUAGCGUGCAGGAUGACGGCCCUACGGGUUGUAAACUGCUUUUAUACGGGAAUAACGCGCCUUACGUGUAGGGCUUUGCAUGUACCGUAUGAAUAAGGACCGGCUAAUUCCGUGCCAGCAGCCGCGGUAAUACGGAAGGUCCGGGCGUUAUCCGGAUUUAUUGGGUUUAAAGGGAGCGUAGGCGGCAUGUCAAGCGUGCUGUGAAAUGUCCGGGCUAAACCCGGGACUUGCAGCUCGAACUGGGGUGCUUGAGGCAGCGGAAAGCAGGCGGAAUUCGGGGUGUAGCGGUGAAAUGCUUAGAUAUGACGAAGAACCCCGAUUGCGAAGGCAGCUGGCUGAAGGGGAACUGACGCUGAUGCUCGAAAGCGCGGGUAUCGAACAGGAUUAGAUACCCCUUAGUC
This 459-nucleotide ribosomal RNA is filed under the name uncultured bacterium. RNAcentral's name for it is "partial 16S ribosomal RNA". It matches the Rfam family "Bacterial small subunit ribosomal RNA", at positions 338 to 795 of the family's 1533-position model. The record is from RNAcentral.